This 292-nucleotide ribosomal RNA is filed under the name uncultured bacterium. RNAcentral describes it as "partial 16S ribosomal RNA". It matches the Rfam family "Bacterial small subunit ribosomal RNA", at positions 505 to 796 of the family's 1533-position model. The record is from RNAcentral.
GUGUCAGCAGCCGCGGUAAUACGAAGGGGGCUAGCGUUGCUCGGAAUGACUGGGCGUAAAGGGCGCGUAGGCGGAACAUACAGUCAGAUGUGAAAUUCCCGGGCUCAACCUGGGGACUGCAUUUGAUACGUGUGAUCUAGAGUGAGGAAGAGGGUCGUGGAAUUCCCAGUGUAGAGGUGAAAUUCGUAGAUAUUGGGAAGAACACCGGUGGCGAAGGCGGCGACCUGGUCCUUUACUGACGCUGAGGCGCGAAAGCGUGGGGAGCAAACAGGAUUAGAUACCCGCGUAGUCC